CAUCUGAAAGGCGGGAUAGACGCUAUUCCCAUCGCUCGCGAGAGGAGCAAAACACUGCAGAUCCCCGUUCGGCUCUUUGGCGCCGCGCCAGGGAACUGCGGAACUCCCCGCCUCAUGAGAUCCAGCGGGAGCUUUUGCUCUGCUAUUCUCAGCGCCUGCUAAGGAGCUCGUUGCUUAAGCAAACCUACCCAGAUGCUUAGAAAGUCGAGGCAAUGCGAAUCUGUUUCAGUAUUUUGACUUUCGUGCUUGCCUUGCUUGCUGAGUUUCGUUGCGGGGAUUGUUGAUUCAAUGGAGAGCGGAUGAAGCCCGGAUUCUGCGUGUGUCCAUCAGCUCCUUCCUGGAGCAUCUCUGCUUGGUGGUGGAAACUAUGGACCUGUUUGGGCCUCCUGUGGCUUGACAGAUGGUUGCAACAGGAAGCUUCCCCAUAGUCUUGGCUGGACUCUGGACUUGCCCAUGGGCUACUGAUGUCAGAGGAGGCCCUGAACAUGCCAUCCUUAGAGCCAAGAUGUUGCUUUGUGUUCUGGAGCCAGCGGGGAACUCUUUGCUUUUGGAUACUCUUGGACAUUGAUAGAUUUUUUGUGCUGAGAAGCAGGCAAGCCUGGGACUGCCUUGAUAUAAGACAAAGUACAUAGAAUCUGGUGCUUUAAUAAACUAUCCAGUGUGCUUUACAUUUUAGUCUGUAUGUGUUAACUGAUUAAAUAUAUUUGAGCCGGCUCA
Molecule: long non-coding RNA, 717 nt
Organism: Podarcis muralis (Common wall lizard)
Lineage: Eukaryota; Metazoa; Chordata; Lepidosauria; Squamata; Lacertidae
Source: RefSeq, a predicted model, not a curated record